This 506-nucleotide ribosomal RNA is filed under the name uncultured bacterium. RNAcentral describes it as "partial 16S ribosomal RNA". It matches the Rfam family "Bacterial small subunit ribosomal RNA", at positions 29 to 523 of the family's 1533-position model. The record is from RNAcentral.
AGUGAACGCUGGCGGUAGGCCCAACACAUGCAAGUCGAACGGCAGCACAGGAGAGCUUGCUCUCUGGGUGGCGAGUGGCGGACGGGUGAGGAAUACAUCGGAAUCUACUCUGUCGUGGGGGAUAACGUAGGGAAACUUACGCUAAUACCGCAUACGACCUACGGGUGAAAGCAGGGGACCUUCGGGCCUUGCGCGAUUGACUGAGCCGAUGUCGGAUUAGCUAGUUGGCGGGGUAAAGGCCCACCAAGGCGACGAUCCGUAGCUGGUCUGAGAGGAUGAUCAGCCACACUGGAACUGAGACACGGUCCAGACUCCUACGGGAGGCAGCAGUGGGGAAUAUUGGACAAUGGGCGCAAGCCUGAUCCAGCCAUACCGCGUGGGUGAAGAAGGCCCUCGGGUUGUAAAGCCCUUUUGUUGGGAAAGAAAUCCAGCUGGCUAAUACCCGGUUGGGAUGACGGUACCCAAAGAAUAAGCACCGGCUAACUUCGUGCCAGCCGCCGCGGUAA